Ciona intestinalis (vase tunicate) is the source of this 999-nucleotide non-coding RNA. NCBI's taxonomy places the organism in Eukaryota, Metazoa, Chordata, Ascidiacea, Phlebobranchia, Cionidae. The record is from RefSeq and is a predicted model, not a curated record.
GCAAGGCACAUUACUUGUAUGUUAUAUAUUAUAGAUAUGUUUGCGCCAUGAAAGCGAAGCAAAAAGAUCAAAGAAUUGGUAAAGUAUAAAUUAAAAUUGACAUUAUUACCUACAUACGCUGUUUUCUAGAAACAUUCAUUAUUUGACGUCACGAAGUGGUGAUGAGGCAUCAGAAGAACCCACUUCAUAUUGGAAUGUGACCUCACAAAGGUCCAAGGGACCAUGGCGUGAAAAUGGAACGAAGAAAAGUCAGCGAAUAAAGCUGCCGAAGAAAAGCACAAGUCGAAGAACAAAGACGAAGGCGCCGAUGAAGGAUACACGGUUUGCGGUUUUAGUAUUAUAAGUUUGAGUGAUGUGUGAUGUGUGUCUUUCUGCGCUGCUCUUAUAUUCUGCUGGAUCUAAUGUCGCCAGCUAUUUUUAGUCUGUCAUCAGUCACUACUAAUGUGCAUUUCGCACGGCUUAUGAAACAUUUGCAAUCAAACUAUGGCAAACAACUUUUGGAUCAGAUUUUAUUGUUGUACACUGUUGUGUUACUUUUACAAAGAUCGAAUCUUUCAGCGAUUUUGAUUGUCUAAUCGCUUGGUAAGACGGUAUGUUGCUGAUAGUUGGUAUACUAGUACUCAGGUAAUAUCAGCACGCAGUAUAAUAGCGCAUAAUUAGCAUCCAUAAUUUAUAUUUAAUUCUGUAAAACAAACUUCUCGACCCCGAUAAAAUAAUUGUAAUACAAACGUCAUGUAGCGUGAUUGCGACGAUGGCCACGUCACAAUUACGCUACGGCGUCAAUACGGUGGGUCAGAGCAUUGCCAUGACCCUGCGUUCGGUGCGGUUAUGUCACGUCGAUUGAGUUACAUUAUGAUCAGGUUGAUGCGUGAAGGUCGCCGCCAAUUUCGUAGCGAUCGAUACGGUGCGUAACAACCGGACGGUAUUAUAUUGUGUGAAGAUACGACGAGAGUAUCGCGAUACCAACAUGUCGACUUACCUUUUAAUUGGGACAUUCGA